GAUGAACGCUGGCGGCGUGCCUAAUACAUGCAAGUCGAGCGAACGGACGAUAAGCUUGCUUUUCUGAUGUUAACGGCGGACGGGUGAGUAACACGUGGUUAACCUACCUAUAAGACUGGGAUAACUUCGGGAAACCCGAGCUAAUACCUGAUAAUAUUUUGAACCGCAUGUUUCAAAAUGGAAAGACGGUCUUGCUGUCACUUAUAUAUGGAUCCGCGCUGCAUUAGCUAGUUGGUAAGGUAACGGCUUACCAAGGCAACGAUGCAUAGCCGACCUGAGAGGGUGAUCGGCCACACUGGAACUGAGACACGGUCCAGACUCCUACGGGAGGCAGCAGUAGGGAAUCUUCCGCAAUGGGCGAAAGCCUGCCGGAGAAACGCCGCGUGAGUGAUGAAGGUCUUCGGAUCGUAAACCUUUGUUAUUAGGGAAGACAAUAUGUGUAAGUAACUGUGCACAUCUUGACGGUACCUAAUCAGAAAGCCACGGCUAACUACGUG
Molecule: ribosomal RNA, 497 nt
Filed under: uncultured bacterium
Lineage: Bacteria
Description: partial 16S ribosomal RNA
Rfam family: Bacterial small subunit ribosomal RNA
Source: RNAcentral